Myotis lucifugus (little brown bat) is the source of this 1665-nucleotide long non-coding RNA. RefSeq lists it as uncharacterized. Lineage: Eukaryota; Metazoa; Chordata; Mammalia; Chiroptera; Vespertilionidae. The transcript has 2 exons. The record is from RefSeq and is a predicted model, not a curated record.
CCCCUGUGGUGGGUGACGGACUCCCUGGGACAGUCUCCCCCGGCCCCCGUGGCGGGUGACGGACUCCCUGGGACAGUCUCCCCCGGCCCCCGUGGCGGGUGACGGAGUCCCUGGGACAGUCUCCCCCGGCCCCUGUGGUGGGUGACUGAGUCCCUGGGACAGUCUCCCCCGGCCCCUGUGGCCGGUGACUGAGUCCCUGGGAACUGCACUCGGGUGUCCAGGGUGCCUGCUGGGCACUUCUGUGAGCUGCUUAUUUGUUUGGCCACAGUUCGUGGCUGAAAGUAUAAGACCGAGCAUCGUGGAAUGUGCUGCUCUGCUGUGUCAUUAACCCUCAGCGCUCAGGAGGCCCUGGCACAGGGGGCUGCUCUGGGCGUGGCUGCCAGUCAGUUCCAGAGCCAGAGGUUUGCAGCCGCCUGACGCCCGAGAGGAGCGCAGCUAACACUCUCUCCCGUCGUCUCUGCACUCAGGCAGAAUAUGAAGUCUCCCCCGACGAGGACCGAAGAGAGCGCGGACAGUUAGUCUUAAACACGUUCUUCAAUAAUGAGAAACUAAUAACUGAUGAGAGAAGCUGCGUGGUGCUGGCAUAAGGACAGUCACCCCAUCAGUGGGCUGGGACUGAUGCAGGAGCCAGCGCAUCCGUUUGCAGUCAGCUGACUUACAACAGCCUACGACACCACUGGGGAGAGUCACCUUUCCAGAGACUGCAGGCACAGCUGGACGUCCACAUGCAAAAGAAUGGAGCUGGCCCUUACCUCACACCACACACAAAGCAUCAUCCAAAUGGAUCGAACACUUCAAUGGAAGAGUGAAAGCCAUAGAACUCCCAGUGGACGUCUCUGAGGUGUAAAGUUAGGUACAAAGCUUUUAAGUUAGCUCUUCAUGACCUUGGUUUAGACUGGUUUCUGAGCACAGUGAAAGGACAGCAACCUAAGCCCAACGUUGCUCAGUGGUUAGAGCACAGGCCUGCGAACUGGAGGGUUGUGGGUUCGAUUCCCUGUCAAGUGCAGGUACCUGGGUUGCAGGUCCAAUCCCUGCCCCCGGUUGGAGUUGGUGUAGGAGCCAACCAAUUGAUGUGUCUCUGUCACAUCGAUACUUCUCUCUCUCUUCUUUCCCCCCCACCCUUCCAUUCUCUCUAAAAUCAGUGAAAAAAUUUCAGCACUCGUUGGGUAAGGAUAAAAAAGUUUUUUUAAAUGAAUAAAUAAGUAAAUAAACUGGACUUGAUCAAAAUUGAAAACUUUGUGCUUCAAAGAGCACUAUAAAGAAAGUGAACAGACAACCUACAGAAUGGGAGAUCCGCUCAGGUCUGGUAUCCAGGAUAUAGAAAGAACUGUUAAAUUCAACAAUAAAGACAGCCCAGUUUAAAAAAAGAGUAAAGUCUGUGUUUUUAACACAGAAAAAGAAGCCUAUUUCUGCACAGUUCACCCCCCUCCUUUUCUGCAGCGGACUUUCCCAUCUGAGGUCUGCACGUCCAAGACUUGAAAAAGCAGGGCAACCCCCUCUUCUGAGAAGGACUCUUGCUCCUGAGUUGAAGGCCCAGAAGGUCUGUCUGACUUUACGGUUAGCAGGCCUUCCCUUGCCUCUGCUCAGGGAGGAUCACAGCACUGCUUGUCCUUUCUGUGGGAAGACAUUAUUCUUAAAUAAAAAUGUUCUAAGUUACCGAGAAAA